GUGUUUUUGCAGGAACCAUUCUUCUGCUUCCUUUCCUUUUGUCACCCUGUAUGUCAGAUAUACAUAGAUUUUGUCUUGUUGUUUAGUUGAAAAUUAUAUUUUCCAUUGGUUUGAGGAUGCAACAAAUUGAUUUAAAGCCGAAACUGAACCAACUAAUCCAGUAACUUAAAGUAUGUUGUAAAGUAAGUUGUAUUUUGCAUUUGGAUAAUUGUGUUUAUUUUGUUGGCAGGGAGCAGAUGAUUAAUGAAGACACAUGGGGCUGGGCUCAUCUGUGAUAUAUUCAGCGCCAGUAUCCUGGAGCCAAGUGACUCUUUCCAUCACUGCUCUGAGUCUCUGAUGCUCUCAGACUGAUUACACUCCUGUUUCUCUCAGGAGCGCCUGUUCAGUCUGUCAGGAUGAAAACACGAUGAGAUGUUUCUGGAUUGAGGUCACAUAUAAGGAUGUAACUGAAGCUCUGCGUUCUUGUGCUGCUCUUUCUAGGAUCAGAAACGUAUGCCAAGACAUGACAGUAAAUCGAGACACAAUGAAAGCAGGAAUAUACUGUAUGAGACAACGUUCAGAAAAAUCUUUCAACUGAUGAUCAGAUCCAGAAUACAGUGUUUUCUCUAGAGGAUGCUUCACUCUCAUAUUCAUUUGCUGCUUCAUCUGUGUUUUUUCAGCGCUGAUAGAUAAAGCGUCUCUGGAUGUCACAGUAGAGGCUGUUUUCGGUGGUUCUGUUGUCCUGCCGUGUUCUUCAGCUGAACAUGAUCUUGAACUUCAAGACGUUGAUGUGCACUGGAGAGAAAAAUAUGACGACAUUGUGUAUAGUAUAAUUAAGGGUGAACAUUCAAUAGUAGGACAAGACUCACAAUACAAGAACAGAGUUGAAACUUUUUCUGAGGAGUGUGAACUUCUCCAUCAAACUCUCUGAUCUCACUCACGCUGAUGAGGGAAAAUACAUCUGCUACAUCACAAACCCAUCUGAUUCUCAACAGAAGACCGUCCAGCUGAUCAUCAACGAAUCAACAGCAGAAAAAGGAAACGAAUCCAGAAAUCAAGAAAACCAAGGAGAAGAUUUAGGAGCAGACAGUGAGGGGAAAUCAUUGCUCUGGGUUUGCAUUGUAGUACCUGUAUUACUGUUUGUAGUCAGUUUAAUCAUAUUUAUCUUGAGAAAAAAAUAAUAAAAAAUAAUAAUAAUAAAGAUCAAGCUUCCACAUGCUCUUCUGUCUCAACUGACAAACAAAUAACAUCCAUAAAUGACAAAUGAGUAUUAAAGUUUAUUUUUCACUUACUAUAACUUUUCUGAUUGUUUUGCCUUUAGCUGAAUUCUUAGAUCUUUAAUUGG
Molecule: long non-coding RNA, 1324 nt
Organism: Onychostoma macrolepis
Lineage: Eukaryota; Metazoa; Chordata; Actinopteri; Cypriniformes; Cyprinidae
Exons: 5
Source: RefSeq, a predicted model, not a curated record